Molecule: long non-coding RNA, 822 nt
Organism: Helianthus annuus (common sunflower)
Lineage: Eukaryota; Viridiplantae; Streptophyta; Magnoliopsida; Asterales; Asteraceae
Exons: 3
Source: RefSeq, a predicted model, not a curated record
CUACUCAGGGGCGGAGCUACCUUUAUGCCGGGGGCAACGCCCGCUACGGCUUGGCGCGGAAAAAAUUGGAAAAAUUAGUGUAAAUUUUGGAAAAAUUUGAGGUUUUUUCGAUUUCGUUACGGCUUAUUUAUAAAACGUUACGGCUUGGCGGAUUUUCUAGAUCCGCCACUGCCGCUACUUGUGUCUUCCCCACCAUCUUCUUUUUCCUCUGCAAGUAUCAACCACACACACUAAUCACUUACCUCCUAAAAAUUUUCCUUACCUCCCUCUCACUUGGAAGGCCGGCCGACUACCACCAUGGUGGCAGCGCACAACGGCGACGGUAGACACGUCGGAAAGAGAUGAGAGAGUGAGAAACUGCGGCGGCGACGGCGGCCGUACCAAUCGACGGCAACGACGAGUUCGUUCGAGUUGGGUUCAACCCGAUUCCAGUUCGGGUCUCGUUUUGGGUUGUGUUUCAUGAAGCCGCCGCCAGAACCACAGAUCGGAGCACGAAUUGGAACUCGACUCGUAAACCUUUUCAUUUCGACAUAAUUGAAAGAUUUGCCACACUUGUUCCACCGGAAGGGUUAUUGACGAUUUCGCCUUCACAACUAAAGCUAGUUUCAUUUGUUGAAGCUUCCCAAUCUUACUCGUGCGUUACUUACAAGAAACCACAAACGCAACCAAUGAUUGUGACAGAUGAAUCCAGUAGGAUUGCCUAGAAGCGCACUUAAACUUUAUUGCUCGUUGUAUUGUAAUUUAUUUUCAAUCCUGUUGUAUUCUGGUUCCAAUACUUGUAAUAAUUCAUUAUUAAUGAAAUGAAAUAUAAUUAUUUGAAUA